This 150-nucleotide ribosomal RNA is filed under the name Escherichia coli. RNAcentral describes it as "partial 23S ribosomal RNA". It matches the Rfam family "Bacterial large subunit ribosomal RNA", at positions 1 to 140 of the family's 2925-position model. The record is from RNAcentral. Lineage: Bacteria; Pseudomonadati; Pseudomonadota; Gammaproteobacteria; Enterobacterales; Enterobacteriaceae.
GGGUUGUGAGGUUAAGCGACUAAGCGUACACGGUGGAUGUCCUGGCAGUCAGAGGCGAUGAAGGACGUGCUAAUCUGCGAUAAGCGUCGGUAAGGUGAUAUGAACCGUUAUAACCGGCGAUUUCCGAAUGGGGAAACCCAGUGUGAUUCG